AUGAGUGAAUUUCCUGAAAUAAAGUCAGGAGAUGCUGAACUUAAGAAGAGAACUAAAGAGCUCGCCAUUAGCACAGAUUCCACCUUUUUCUUCCUCUGGCUACAUGGAACUUGGAAAAGUUUCAUUUUCAUCGACAAUGAUACUGGAGUUGUUAUAUUUGGAACCACCGGUAUACUCCCAAAAUCCAAAGACACAAAGAACCAUGAAUGCAUAUUUUGUUUUAAUUUUUUUUUUCUUUCAUCUCGGUGA
This is a non-coding RNA of Vicia faba (fava bean), 249 nucleotides long. Lineage: Eukaryota; Viridiplantae; Streptophyta; Magnoliopsida; Fabales; Fabaceae. The record is from the annotation of a GenBank genome assembly.